GACGAACGCUGGCGGCGUGCUUAACACAUGCAAGUCGAACGGAAAGGCCUUUUCGGAGGUACUCGAGUGGCGAACGGGUGAGUAACACGUGGGUGAUCUGCCCUGCACUCUGGGAUAAGCCUGGGAAACUGGGUCUAAUACCGGAUAGGACCGCACUUUAGUGUGUGUGGUGGAAAGUUUUUUCGGUGUAGGAUGAGCCCGCGGCCUAUCAGCUUGUUGGUGGGGUAAUGGCCUACCAAGGCGGCGACGGGUAGCCGGACUGAGAGGUUGGUCGGCCACAUUGGGACUGAGAUACGGCCCAGACUCCUACGGGAGGCAGCAGUGGGGAAUAUUGCACAAUGGGCGCAAGCCUGAUGCAGCUACGCCGCGGGGGGGAUGACGGCCUUCGGGUUGGAAACUCCUUUCGCCAGGGACGAAGCGUUUUGUGACGGUACCUGGAGAAGAAGCACCGGCUAACUACGUG
RNAcentral lists this ribosomal RNA (463 nucleotides) under uncultured bacterium. RNAcentral's name for it is "partial 16S ribosomal RNA". It matches the Rfam family "Bacterial small subunit ribosomal RNA", at positions 28 to 507 of the family's 1533-position model. The record is from RNAcentral.